GUGGGGAAUUUUGGACAAUGGGCGCAAGCCUGAUCCAGCAAUGCCGCGUGCAGGAAGAAGGCCUUCGGGUUGUAAACUGCUUUUGUACGGAACGAAACGGUCCGGGUUAAUACCCUGGGCUAAUGACGGUACCGUAAGAAUAAGCACCGGCUAACUACGUGCCAGCAGCCGCGGUAAUACGUAGGGUGCAAGCGUUAAUCGGAAUUACUGGGCGUAAAGCGUGCGCAGGCGGUUUUGUAAGACAGUCGUGAAAUCCCCGGGCUCAACCUGGGAAUUGCGCUUGUGACUGCAAGGCUGGAGUGCGGCAGAGGGGGAUGGAAUUCCGCGUGUAGCAGUGAAAUGCGUAGAUAUGCGGAGGAACACCGAUGGCGAAGGCAAUCCCCUGGGCCUGCACUGACGCUCAUGCACGAAAGCGUGGGGAGCAAACAGGAUUAGAAACCCCGGUAGUCC
RNAcentral lists this ribosomal RNA (450 nucleotides) under uncultured bacterium. Its description in RNAcentral is "partial 16S ribosomal RNA". It matches the Rfam family "Bacterial small subunit ribosomal RNA", at positions 354 to 796 of the family's 1533-position model. The record is from RNAcentral.